RNAcentral lists this ribosomal RNA (373 nucleotides) under uncultured organism. RNAcentral describes it as "partial 16S ribosomal RNA". It matches the Rfam family "Bacterial small subunit ribosomal RNA", at positions 528 to 896 of the family's 1533-position model. The record is from RNAcentral.
GGGGGGGCAAGCGUUUGUUCGGAAUUACUGGGCGUAAAGGGCGCGUAGGCUGUCCCGCAAGUCCUCCGUGAAAUCCCACAGCUCAACUGUGGAAUUGCGAGGGAAACUGCAGGACUUGAGUUCGGGAGAGGAGAGUGGAAUUCCCAGUGUAGCGGUGAAAUGCGUAGAUAUUGGGAGGAACACCGGUGGCGAAGGCGGCUCUCUGGACCGACACUGACGCUGAGGCGCGAAAGCUAGGGGAGCAAACGGGAUUAGAUACCCCGGUAGUCCUAGCCCUAAACGAUGAGCACUUGGUGUGGCGGGUAUCGACCCCCUGCCGUGCCGAAGCUAACGCAUUAAGUGCUCCGCCUGGGGGAGUACGGUCGCAAGGCUG